RNAcentral lists this transfer-messenger RNA (395 nucleotides) under pig gut metagenome. It matches the Rfam family "transfer-messenger RNA". Rfam says of the family: Bacterial tmRNA, also known as 10Sa RNA or SsrA, is named for its dual tRNA and mRNA-like properties. Its role is to liberate the mRNA from a stalled ribosome. To accomplish this part of the tmRNA is used as a reading frame that ends in a translation stop signal. The record is from RNAcentral.
GGGGAUGUUUUGGUUUUGACAGCAUCGUAAACGGUAGCAAGCACGUCGAGAGUUGUAAGCCCUCUCGUAAAUCCCAGUUUACAAAAAAUUAGUAGGCAACUACAAUUAUUCAUACGCUUGCUAGUCUCCAAGAGAUUGAGCAUUAAUCAGAGCCGCCAAGGCUGCGGCACUGACGUAUAUCCCGCCGCGUUUUUCGCCGCUUAUGCACGGUAUAUGGGGUAUCAUUCAAAGCGGAUGCACGGGUGGAUGUCCCUAAAGCCCGCCAAGAUUCAAGGACUAAGUUGAGAUUGGCCCGUCUUCCGGCAGAUCUCUUCCGACAAGCAAAGGAAGAAUAAGCGUGUAGAAAACUAUUGGAUAUUAUGUUUGGACGAGGGUUCGAGUCCCUCCAUCUCCAC